UACGUAGGGUGCGAGCGUUGUCCGGAAUUAUUGGGCGUAAAGAGCACGUAGGCGGUGUGUCACGUCGGCCGUGAAAACCUGCAGCUUAACUGUGGGCGUGCGGUCGAUACGGGCAUCACUGGAGUUCGGCAGGGGAGACUGGAAUUCCUGGUGUAGCGGUGAAAUGCGCAGAUAUCAGGAGGAACACCGGUGGCGAAGGCGGGUCUCUGGGCCGAUACUGACGCUGAGGAGCGAAAGCGUGGGGAGCAAACAGG
This 254-nucleotide ribosomal RNA is filed under the name uncultured bacterium. Its description in RNAcentral is "partial 16S ribosomal RNA". It matches the Rfam family "Bacterial small subunit ribosomal RNA", at positions 524 to 776 of the family's 1533-position model. The record is from RNAcentral.